GAUGAAGAACGCAGCGAAAUGCGAUACGUAAUGUGAAUUGCAGAAUUCAGUGAAUCAUCGAAUCUUUGAAUGCACAUUGCGCCCUUUGGUAUUCCUUAGGGCAUGCCUGUUCGAGCGUCAUUUAAACCUUCAAGCUAAGCUUGGUGUUGGGUGACUGUCCGCUUCACGGCGGACUCGCCUCAAAAUUAUUGGCGGCCGGUACAUUGGCUUCGAGCGCAGCAGAAACGCGAACUCGGGCCCGUCGUAUUGGCUCCCAGAAGCUAUCUUCACAAUUUUGACCUCGGAUCAGGUAGGGAUACCCGCUGAACUUAAGCAUAUCAAUAAGCGGAGGA
RNAcentral lists this unclassified non-coding RNA (332 nucleotides) under soil metagenome. RNAcentral describes it as "partial contains 5.8S ribosomal RNA, internal transcribed spacer 2, and large subunit ribosomal RNA". The stretch from base 1 to 120 matches the Rfam family "5.8S ribosomal RNA", at positions 35 to 154 of the family's 154-position model. The record is from RNAcentral.